AAACUUAAAGGAAUUGACGGGGACCCGCACAAGCGGUGGAGCAUGUGGUUUAAUUCGACGCAACGCGAAGAACCUUACCAAGUCUUGACAUCCUUUUGACCGGUCGGUAAUGCGACCUUCUCUUCGGAGCAAAAGUGACAGGUGGUGCAUGGUUGUCGUCAGCUCGUGUCGUGAGAUGUUGGGUUAAGUCCCGCAACGAGCGCAACCCUUAUCUUUAGUAGCCAGCAUUUCGGAUGGGCACUCUAGAGAGACUGCCAGGGAUAACCUGGAGGAAGGUGGGGAUGACGUCAAAUCAUCAUGCCCCUUAUGACUUGGGCUACACACGUGCUACAAUGGCGUAAACAAAGGGACGCAAUACCGCGAGGUUGAGCAAAUCCCAAAAUAACGUCUCAGUUCGGAUUGUAGUCUGCAACUCGACUACAUGAAGCUGGAAUCGCUAGUAAUCGCAAAUCAGAAUGUUGCGGUGAAUACGUUCCCGGGUCUUGUACACACCGCCCGUCACACCAUGGGAGUUGGGAAUGCCCGAAGCCAGUGACCUAACCGUAAGGAAGGAGCUGUCGAAGGCAGGCUCGAUGACUGGGGU
RNAcentral lists this ribosomal RNA (583 nucleotides) under uncultured Lachnospiraceae bacterium. Its description in RNAcentral is "bacterial SSU rRNA". It matches the Rfam family "Bacterial small subunit ribosomal RNA", at positions 897 to 1481 of the family's 1533-position model. The record is from RNAcentral. Lineage: Bacteria; Bacillati; Bacillota; Clostridia; Lachnospirales; Lachnospiraceae.